RNAcentral lists this long non-coding RNA (1065 nucleotides) under Dromaius novaehollandiae (emu). Its description in RNAcentral is "lncRNA (ENSDNVG00000005547.1)". Lineage: Eukaryota; Metazoa; Chordata; Aves; Casuariiformes; Dromaiidae. The record is from RNAcentral.
AGUUUUUAGGUGAGAUGAUAUAUCACAGUGUGCUUUAAACUGUCAGGAGCCUUUUGGUUCCUGCACAGCUGUGACACUGUUAAAUGUCUGCGAAUGUCUUCAAGUGGAGAAAACAUUUCAUUGCAAUCUUUUCCCCUGACUAGGAAUUCCUAAGAUUUUUGAGAAUAUUAGUUUUGGAAGAUCAUAGCCCACUAUAUUUUUAUAACAAGCAAGACAGCAUUGGCUUAUCCUUGCUUGACCAGGUAUUUAAAAUGGCACAAAAAGAAAAAAAAAAAAAGUAAAUGACACAUUAAAGUUACAUUGGUAAUUGCGGGAAAGCUCAUCUGUAUUUAUAAAAUAAAACUGAUUAGUAUCUCUCAGAAGUUGUGUGUCUUCUGUUAAUGGUUCCAUCUGUGUUGCUUUGCUUACAAGCCUGAUUUGGACUGCAAUGUYCUCCCCAAGCCCCCGAACUCUGUGGCUUAAAACUCAUCAAGCCCGAAGUGAUCCAAAUGUGGUGAAUAUUCUGACAAGCGGGUUUACUUGAAGACCACCUUCGUGGCUCCAAUUCCUGUGUCAUGCAAGAUGGCACUGCAGUUGCUUUUCGUUCCCCUUCCAAAAAGAUGGUACACAGCUGGAAAAACAGGUCUGGUGGUGUUGUGUGGCUGGAAGGCAGCUGCAUUCGCAAAACUUCAUGGAUAGUGGGAAUGCCAUAUCCCCUCGUCAGGGAGGCACUGCUACUCAUCCAGCACCUUAUGUGAUCCGAGCUAAUAAGCAACAUAUGCCUAAAAACCUUAUGUCUGCCUAAAAACCUUAUGUUUCUGUUGAAAAGGAGACUGCUGCUCAAGGCUUAGGAGGAGACCGUGCAAUGCAGGCAGUUGCUGGUGGGAAGCAGUAUAACAUGAAGAGCCAAAGGGCCUCUCCGGGCUUCAUCAGUGAAACAGUAGCACUCCAGCUUUCCGUCAUGUGUCCACCUGCCAGCAGCAGUACGCGUGCUGCCCGUGGAUGCCAAAGGAAUCGUGUGACWGCGGUGACCAGCCACCAGCUCCUGCAAGGUACCUGUCACACGGGGUCUAUGCUGUUAACCAG